Molecule: ribosomal RNA, 301 nt
Filed under: uncultured bacterium
Lineage: Bacteria
Description: partial 16S ribosomal RNA
Rfam family: Bacterial small subunit ribosomal RNA
Source: RNAcentral
CAGUCGCCGCGGUAAUACGUAGGGUGCAAGCGUUAAUCGGAAUUACUGGGCGUGAAGCGUGCGCAGGCGGUUUGUUAAGACAGAUGUGAAAUCCCCGGGCUCAACCUGGGAACUGCAUUUGUGACUGGCAAGCUAGAGUAUGGCAGAGGGGGGUGGAAUUCCGCGUGUAGCAGUGAAAUGCGUAGAUAUACGGAGGAACACCGAUGGCGAAGGCAGCCCCCUGGGCCAAUACUGACGCUCAUGCACGAAAGCGUGGGGAGCAAACAGGAUUAGAUACCCGCGUAGUCCCUGUCUCUUAUAC